CAGUAGCCGCGGUAAAACGAACCGUGCGAACGUUAUUCGGAAUUACUGGGCUUAAAGCGCGUGUAGGCGGGCCGCCACGUCGGUUGCUGAAAUCCCCCGGCUCAACCGGGGAAGUGGCAUCGAUACGAGCGGCCUUGAGGGGGGUAGGGGGAUCUGGAACUUCCGGUGGAGCGGUGAAAUGCGUUGAGAUCGGAAGGAACGCCCGUGGCGAAAGCGAGGUCCUGGACCCUUUCUGACGCUGAGACGCGAAAGCCAGGGGAGCGAACGGGAUUAGAUACCCGGGUAGUCCCUGUCUCUUAUU
RNAcentral lists this ribosomal RNA (301 nucleotides) under uncultured bacterium. RNAcentral describes it as "partial 16S ribosomal RNA". It matches the Rfam family "Bacterial small subunit ribosomal RNA", at positions 509 to 807 of the family's 1533-position model. The record is from RNAcentral.